Molecule: long non-coding RNA, 1775 nt
Organism: Spinacia oleracea (spinach)
Lineage: Eukaryota; Viridiplantae; Streptophyta; Magnoliopsida; Caryophyllales; Amaranthaceae
Exons: 6
Source: RefSeq, a predicted model, not a curated record
CCAAGAGAUUCAACCGUUUCUUUCUUCCUCUUUCCUUUCCUCUGCUUCCCUUCUCUCACUUCUCCGACAAAUGCUCUCUUUUUCUCUCUGCUCUCCCGUCUCCUUUCUCUCUCCUCCAUUGCUCUGCUCUGCUACAUCAUUUCACCCAACAAUCUCCUCCCUGCGACCCUGCCUCGCCCUUUCCCUGCCUUUCAUUCAAGAUUUCGAGACCUAGCUUCUAAGCUCACAACAAUCGCGGAUGGAGAUUCUAGAUCCUGAACGAACAUAGUUUUUGCGUUUGCGGAACCAAGCUUCAAAAAUAUUCAAUGGCAGACUAUGAUUUCAAAGAGUGGGACAUGAGUUUGUCAUGAUCUUGUUUCGUUCCAACGCUUUCUUUUUCCCCCUCUUUUCCCAGGCUUCUUCCACCAUUCAACAACGAGAUUCCAGCAAGAUGAAAGGUAUGGUAGAGGAAAGCAUGGUUCAGAUGCAGUAGCUUAGGGGAAACCACAUGAAAUCAACACCUUUUAUGGUUAGAAGGGGUCAGUUUCUCAUCGAGGUGUGAGAGUCAUGAUAAAUGAGGUGUUCAACCGCCGCUCUCCCCUGCUGUUUCAACCUCCUGCAACAACUGCCUCUCUCAACGCUGCCACCGAACCACAACGUCUAUUAGUGUGUUUUGGUGUAGUUUGUGACGCAGAGAAUAAAACUUCGGCAUGGAGGUGGUAGUGGUGAUAGUUGUGGGCGUGGUGGAUACAAUAUAGACUACUCCAAUCCUAACACUUCUAAAAGAGCAAAUUUGAAGUUACUAUUCCUACAAUAUUGUUAUGACCGUAUUGCCCCCGCCUCUCACUCUUUACUACUGGUUUGCCCUUGUAAGGAGAUCAUGCCACGUUCCGUCAUCCCUGCUUCAGUGCUUCUCUUCUUCUUUCUUUCACCCCUCUUCCCUGUUUCAGUGCUUCAACAAACCCUAACUCUGCUCAUCUUCCCCCCAUCUCCUCUGGACCCACUUUCUCCCUACUGCAUUGUUCUACCUUGCUACAUCCAUCUUCUCACCAAUAACUGAAGUGGGCUGUUGAUAUUCCAACCAAUAUGUUUUCUCUCACCUUCUCACUCCUUCUCUGCUGAUUUCAUAAUGCUUCAAGAUUAUGCCGGUUUAUGGCGAUCGAAGGAUCAAAUUCGAGGAUUAUGAGAAGGAGCCUGAGUAUGAAACUAUGGAUACAAUCGCAAGUAUUGACGAGUGGAAUCAAGCAAACACGAAGAUGAAGAUAUCGAUGGUGUUUCCUCCUCAUACCAUCUGCUCGUCCCAAUCGAUGUUGGCGACAUCAUUGUUUGAUUUGCAGCGCUGUACUAGCCGUUUUUUAUGUAUGGUUGCAGCUGCUUUUCUUUUGAUCGACUAUGUUUUUUUGUUUCCAAGGUCUUUUUUAGCUUAUUGUUUCCUGCAUGUUGUCAAAUUUUCAGAAAAGUCCUGAAAUUUUGUUUAAGUUAUGUUGUCUUCUUGUCAAAGUUUUUUGUCACUGGAUGUCUUUGCUUGAUAUGUCCCUAGCAAGUUCAUGGGCUCAUGGCUGUGUGAUUUGCAUUGUAGACUCCUUUUUCCAAUUGCAAACAUUUGCCAUUUAGUGAAACAUGGGCAAAAACAAUAUUAACUAUCGCGAUGAGCUCGCUAUCAUGUAUCACGUGUUGUCACUUUGUACUCUUUUUUCUUGUCAAAUUUGAUUUCAUGCUUAUAUUGUGAAAAUGAAUUAUUGUGGAAAACGAAUUUGUAUGGAAUAAAAUAUAGACACUUAUUCAUGUUUAAGCAA